CCUACGGGAGGCAGCAGUGAGGAAUAUUGGUCAAUGGACGCAAGUCUGAACCAGCCAUGCCGCGUGCAGGAAGACGGCUCUAUGAGUUGUAAACUGCUUUUGUACGAGGGUAAACGCAGAUACGCGUAUCUGUCUGAAAGUAUCGUACGAAUAAGGAUCGGCUAACUCCGUGCCAGCAGCCGCGGUAAUACGGAGGAUUCAAGCGUUAUCCGGAUUUAUUGGGUUUAAAGGGUGCGUAGGCGGUCGGAUAAGUUAGAGGUGAAAUCCCGAGGCUCAACUUCGGAAUUGCCUCUGAUAUUGUUCGGCUAGAGAGUAGUUGCGGUAGGCGGAAUGUAUGGUGUAGCGGUGAAAUGCUUAGAGAUCAUACAGAACACCGAUUGCGAAGGCAGCUUACCAAGCUACUUCUGACGUUGAGGCACGAAAGCGUGGGGAGCGAACAGGAUUAGAUACCCCUGUAGUC
RNAcentral lists this ribosomal RNA (460 nucleotides) under uncultured bacterium. RNAcentral describes it as "partial 16S ribosomal RNA". It matches the Rfam family "Bacterial small subunit ribosomal RNA", at positions 338 to 795 of the family's 1533-position model. The record is from RNAcentral.